Molecule: ribosomal RNA, 407 nt
Filed under: bacterium enrichment culture clone ALO1_GLFRUDD03FWJBZ
Lineage: Bacteria
Also listed under: 1 other name
Description: bacterial SSU rRNA
Rfam family: Bacterial small subunit ribosomal RNA
Source: RNAcentral
GAGUUUGAUCUUGGCUCAGAUUGAACGCUGGCGGCAUGCCUUACACAUGCAAGUCGAACGGCAGCACGGGAGCUUGCUCCUGGUGGCGAGUGGCGAACGGGUGAGUAAUGCAUCGGAACGUAUCCUGGAGUGGGGGAUAACGUAGCGAAAGUUACGCUAAUACCGCAUAUUCUGUGAGCAGGAAAGCGGGGGACCUUCGGGCCUCGCGCUCUUGGAGCGGCCGAUGUCGGAUUAGCUAGUUGGUGAGGUAAAGGCUCACCAAGGCGACGAUCCGUAGCAGGUCUGAGAGGAUGAUCUGCCACACUGGAACUGAGACACGGUCCAGACUCCUACGGGAGGCAGCAGUGGGGAAUUUUGGACAAUGGGGCAACCCUGAUCCAGCCAUGCCGCGUGAGUGAAGAAGGCCU